Molecule: long non-coding RNA, 314 nt
Filed under: Elaeis guineensis (African oil palm)
Lineage: Eukaryota; Viridiplantae; Streptophyta; Magnoliopsida; Arecales; Arecaceae
Description: long non-coding RNA (EGUI_LNC060425)
Source: RNAcentral
GAUCUUUAAUCUUGUAAUUAAUGAUGAUACUUGGUUUAUUUUAAGAUGUGAUCUCUUUAUGCAUGCUAGUUAGAUUAGAUCUAAUUAUUGAUCUGAAUCUUUAAAUCAUUCUAAUAUAAGGUUGUCCUAACAUAAUGGUUAAAAGUUAUGCUAAAUGAUUGUCCUAGAAUGAUAUUGAGAAUUCAGAUCAAAAAUUUUUAUUUCACUGUGAUCUCUGUUAGAUUAAUUUUUUGAAAUUUCUGCAUGCAUACCUAUUAUUAUGUGAUGUCGAUAUUCAAUAGUGGUAUCAGAGCCAUCUAAUUAAUGCAUGGUUG